CUACGGGCCGCUCCAGUAAAGAAUCUUUCGCAAUGGAGGAAACUCUGACGAAGCAAUACCGCGUGCGCGAUGAAGGCCGAAAGGUUGUAAAGCGCUUUUCUGAGGGAAGAAUUCUGACGGUACCUCAGGAAUAAGCACCGGCUAACUCCGUGCCAGCAGCCGCGGUAAUACGGAGGGUGCAAGCGUUACCCGGAAUCAUUGGGCGUAAAGCGUCCGCAGGCUGUUUAUUAAGUUAAGCAUUAAAUCUUGUAGCCCAACUGCAAGGCUGUGCUUAAAACUGAUAAACUAGAGUCUUUCAGGGGUGCGUAGAAUUCUGUGUAUAGGGGUAACAUCCGUAGAUACACAGAGGAAUACCAAAAGCGAAAGCAACGCACUGGGGAAGUACUGACGCUCAUGGACGAAAGCGCGGGUAGCGAACAGGAUUAGAUACCCUUGUAGUC
This 440-nucleotide ribosomal RNA is filed under the name uncultured bacterium. Its description in RNAcentral is "partial 16S ribosomal RNA". It matches the Rfam family "Bacterial small subunit ribosomal RNA", at positions 339 to 795 of the family's 1533-position model. The record is from RNAcentral.